RNAcentral lists this unclassified non-coding RNA (344 nucleotides) under soil metagenome. RNAcentral's name for it is "partial contains 5.8S ribosomal RNA, internal transcribed spacer 2, and large subunit ribosomal RNA". The stretch from base 1 to 119 matches the Rfam family "5.8S ribosomal RNA", at positions 35 to 154 of the family's 154-position model. The record is from RNAcentral.
GAUGAAGAACGUAGCGAAAUGCGAUACGUAAUGUGAAUUCAGAAUUCAGUGAAUCAUCGAGUCUUUGAACGCACAUUGCGCCCCCUGGUAUUCCGGGGGGCAUGCCUGUCCGAGCGUCAUUGCUGCCCUCAAGCACGGCUUGUGUGUUGGGCCUCCGUCCUCCUCCCGGGGGACGGGCCCGAAAGGCAGCGGCGGCACCGCGUCCGGUCCUCGAGCGUAUGGGGCUUCGUCACCCGCUCUUGUAGGCCCGGCCGGCGCUUGCCGACACAUCAAUCUUUUUUCCAGGUUGACCUCGGAUCAGGUAGGGAUACCCGCUGAACUUAAGCAUAUCAAUAAGCGGAGGA